UAAGUAGUAUCCAUUAAAGGGUUGUUCUCAACAUGCAAAUCAACCUUUUGAUGUACUACUUUAA
RNAcentral lists this microRNA precursor (64 nucleotides) under Drosophila melanogaster (fruit fly). RNAcentral describes it as "Dme-Mir-252-P1a_pre stem-loop". The record is from RNAcentral. Lineage: Eukaryota; Metazoa; Arthropoda; Insecta; Diptera; Drosophilidae.